This 305-nucleotide ribosomal RNA is filed under the name uncultured soil bacterium. Its description in RNAcentral is "bacterial SSU rRNA". It matches the Rfam family "Bacterial small subunit ribosomal RNA", at positions 26 to 326 of the family's 1533-position model. The record is from RNAcentral.
AGGAUGAACGCUGGCGGCGUGCUUAACACAUGCAAGUCGAACGAUGAAGGCUGGAGCUUGCUCUGGCUGGAUUAGUGGCGAACGGGUGAGUAACACGUGAGUAACCUGCCCCAGACUCUGGGAUAAGCGCUGGAAACGGCGUCUAAUACCGGAUACGAGCUUCCACCGCAUGGUGAGGAGCUGGAAAGAAUUUCGGUCUGGGAUGGACUCGCGGCCUAUCAGCUUGUUGGUGAGGUAAUGGCUCACCAAGGCGACGACGGGUAGCCGGCCUGAGAGGGUGACCGGCCACACGUGGGACUGAGACA